This 541-nucleotide ribosomal RNA is filed under the name Citrobacter sp. Cpo032. RNAcentral's name for it is "partial 23S ribosomal RNA". It matches the Rfam family "Bacterial large subunit ribosomal RNA", at positions 1 to 581 of the family's 2925-position model. Lineage: Bacteria; Pseudomonadati; Pseudomonadota; Gammaproteobacteria; Enterobacterales; Enterobacteriaceae. The record is from RNAcentral.
GGUUAAGCGACUAAGCGUACACGGUGGAUGCCCUGGCAGUCAGAGGCGAUGAAGGACGUGCUAAUCUGCGAUAAGCGUCGGUAAGGUGAUAUGAACCGUUAUAACCGGCGAUUUCCGAAUGGGGAAACCCAGUGUGAUUCGUCACACUAUCAUUAUGUGAAUACAUAGCGUAAUGAAGCGAACCGGGGGAACUGAAACAUCUAAGUACCCCGAGGAAAAGAAAUCAACCGAGAUUCCCCCAGUAGCGGCGAGCGAACGGGGAGCAGCCCAGAGUCUGAAUCAGCAUGUGUGUUAGUGGAAGCGUCUGGAAAGUCGCACGAUACAGGGUGAAAGUCCCGUACACAAAAGUGCAUGUGUUGUGAACUCGAAGAGUAGGGCGGGACACGUGGUAUCCUGUCUGAAUAUGGGGGGACCAUCCUCCAAGGCUAAAUACUCCUGACUGACCGAUAGUGAACCAGUACCGUGAGGGAAAGGCGAAAAGAACCCCGGCGAGGGGAGUGAAAAAGAACCUGAAACCGUGUACGUACAAGCAGUGGGAGCA